CACAUGUGCUUUCUCUCUCUUUCUCUCUCUCUCUCUCAAAAAAAUAAAUUUAAAAAUUAAUUAAUUAAAUAGAAAGGAGGGAAUGCGUAUGUAAUAUUCUGUUUAGUGCUUGGCAUGGAGGGAGGGCCCAAACAUGGUGGCCUGAGAUUUUCUCUAGACCCAGCUCCUAGCACAUGGUCUGGAAAACUGAGGCUCAGAGAGGGACUUGUCAGGACUUUCACACACGCAGUCCCACCUGCCAUGGGGUGUAGGAUGGGUGGAGUGGAAGAGUCUGGGUAGGGCCCAAAUGAGAGCCAGACUCCUUUGUGAAAUUUCUGGCAGUGGAGGCACCCACUGAUCAAAUAUUUACCAGACCCAACGGUGUGGCCAUAGCACCGUGCAAAGAUGAAAAUGACACACAUCUGGCCCCAAGAAGCUCACAGCCAAGCAUCGGGCAGCCAACCAAACGCUGGUGCACGGAGAAUGUGUACCACAUGAAGACUGUUUUCAGAACUCCGGGAGAAGCUGAUUUGGAAAGCUUCGGAUCAAAAGUUCCCGCCCUCUCUUUUCGACAGCUAAAUAAUCCUAGUAAUCACUAACAUUUGUUGAUGCUUAUGCUGAGGCAAGCACAGUUUUAAGCACUUUAUGUGAAUUAACUGAGUUGGUCACAUCCUGGUACGGGCCCCGUAAGUGUGUGCUAUUUUCAACCCGUUUCACAAAGAAGCCGAGUUCCAGAGAGGUCAUGAAGUUUGCCCAGAGUCACACAGUUGGUCUGCUCUGUGCACUCGUGGAAGACAGGCACUGAGCUGGAUGAUGGUCACCACUGUACCUAUAGCAUCCAGUACAGGACACUGCACAAAGAGGAGACAAUGAGAAGUGAAUGAAUGAACAAAUCAACAGAUUGAUCCCGAACCGUCAAGAGAACAAAUUGAAAGCUUUCUGUCAACUGUCCCAACGUUGAUUGAAAAUUUCUCAUAUGGAAAACAUUAUGGGAUCUCCAACAUUAAAAUCUGUUCAAAAGCCAGGCGUGAGUGUUGGGAGCUAUGUUGGAGCUAAGGAAAGCCAUUAAGCCCACGCAGGGCACAUGCUUGAGGAGAUAGUCUCAUCACUGUGUCUACAGAGAAGACUUAAACAGAGGCUCGGGGCAUGACUUACCAUGUCAAUAAAAGUGGAUGUCUCUGUUUCUAGAAUGUUCUGAUGUCAUCAUCCAAAUAGACGCAUCAGUGGGCUACCAUCUAAGCAAGGCAUCUUUGCCCUUGAAGGCAGUACCUCACACAGGGCCAGGUAUAUAUAUGUAAGAUACAUAUAUACGUGUGUGUGUGUGUGUGUGUGUGUAUGUAUUACAUACAGGUAUAUGUAAGAUGCUCAAUAAACACUUACUGAAUGGGAGUUACUUUUUUUCCACCCAAAGGCAGACAUUUACUUAGGGACACACGGGUCUCUUUGACAUGUCUCAUGUUGCCCCACUACCAAUCUCUCCUGAUUCUAAUGUUCCCCACACAGGUGUCUGAGUGUUUACUCAACUUCAAGUACGAUCACAGCUCUUCCAUGCUCAUAAUAUUUCCCAGGACUUUCAUGGUCUCAGGAAAACUUCCAAUGGUGUCUAGACUUUAAAAAAAAGUCUCACAUUGCUGUAGAAUGUCAGCACUUGACAGAGGCCCAGCGACUAGGUAUUGUAUCCUCCUCUACUUUUCCCCUCCUAAUUUUAUAGGGUUCUGAUAAGGGGAAGGGAAUUAGCUGAGGAUGCAGUGGGUCAGUGGUGGGAGCAGACCUGAAAUCCAGGUAUCUUAAUGGCCAGUCCAGUGGUCCAUCCUCUAUGAGCACAGCAGGGUUCAAAAAUCUAACUACAUAGUCACAGAGAGUAGCUUUCUGUUUGAAGAAAUUUUCUGAAUUUUCCCCUCCCCCGUCAUGGGUAACCACUUCCACACAGUUUUAUCCUUCUCUGGCCUCUGAUCCUUAGGCUAGAUAAUUAAUCAGGCUUUUGAAUAAUUAAAAUUAUUUAAAAAAUGCCUUUGUAUCUGUGAAAUUUGCUCCGGUAAUUACUGCCUUAUCAAGAGUCUGAUCCCGCAGACUGGAAUACUUUGCCAAGAGAUAGGAAGUACUUUCACUUGAGGCUUCGGGAUUCAGAAGUUGCGGAAGGAGUGUUUGUUAUAUGAACCAGUCUCUUUGAAGAUGAAUAGCACCAACUCUUGACUCCACAGUCUCCACAAAAUCCCCUUUCAUUCUUAGAUUUCGUAACAAGAUACAGCAUAUCUCAUUCUUUGCCUUCAGAGCCUGCUGUAAAAUAUGAUCAUUAGUUAAAGUUUUGGAUUGGCUUCUCCAAACUAGAUUCUGCACUUGCCUUGCUGAGCCUGGCUUCCAAAUUCAACAUCCACUUUCCAAUAAACUCUUGUGGCAGCACAGUGAAUGACAGUGCUUGUUUUUCUCAAGUUACUACCUGGCUCUUCCUGACCCAGCCAGUACCUGAGCCCUAAGACAUAAUGUUCUGUCCCUGGAGCCCCACCACUUCUUGUCAUACCUCCCAAAGGGUUUUUUGAAACCCAGGUCCAGGAUGCCCAAGGUCGACAACUUCAUGCUAGAUUCAGAGGGUUUACAGAAACCUGGUGGACAUUUCCAGCAAGUACAGUCAAUAGAGGGACCAACUACCCAACCAGGGCCCCUUAAAUACCUCACAACCAAGAAUGGGGCCAGUUACAGCACCUGGAGAGGGAAUGCUAAUGCAGGUGUAAUCAAGUGGGGGUGGGAUUUGUGGGGUUGUGCAAGGGAGACAUUAUUUUAUAGUGGUUAAGAACACACGCUCUGGAGUCAGACAAUUAAUAGGGAGGUUGUGCUUUCCUGGGCUCCUGUUUCUGCUGGCCUCUGGCUGGGUUUGGCCAGUGGGAGGCGCUGGUGGGACACUGAAGGGCAAAAGAAAAGGAGACCAAAGGGGAUUUCUUCCCCUCUUUCUCUGCUUGGGUGAUUUCUUUAGAAGCAAACAAGGAUCCUCCUUGGCUUCAGCUUCCCCUGGACACAUCUGCCAUGGUUCCAGCUUCCAUGCAUUAUCAUACUCCAAGGCUUCCAGUAUCUUGGUCCCUCCGUCUUAAGGUAGCAAGUAGCUUCUCGCUCUUGUGUGUUUCUGAGUUAUCUUCCUAUCCCUUUUUGGAUUCCCAGUUGUCUCAUCACUUUCUGUAGCCAAUUCCCUAAAUUAAAUUCCCUCUGUGGUAAAUACUCAAAGCAGUUUCUGUUUUCCUGGUUCCUGAUCAACCACUGUUUGAUUAGGUAAGCCAGCGCAUGUCCUCUUUGGCUUAAGUGAAUUUGAGACGAGUCUCUGUCACAACUUAGAGAGUCUGGACUCACACAGGAGUUAACAGGCAAAAAAAAGUAGCUACGAGCUCCUGAGCACUUACUAUAUGCCUGGCACUAUGCUCAGUGCUUGGUUUACUAACUAUAGAAUCCAUGAAGUAGAAGUUAUGAUCUCCGUUUUGUAGGUGAGGGAAUGGGAGACACAAACAGGUUACAUAAUUUUAUCCCCACCAUAUUUAUUUUCUUUAUGUGGAAAUCCAGUCAAAACCAGCUGCUUCUUAAAAAAAAAGUUACAUAGAGGAAAGGAGGCAAACCAUAAGAGACUCUUAAAAAC
Felis catus (domestic cat) is the source of this 3595-nucleotide long non-coding RNA. RefSeq lists it as uncharacterized. The record is from RefSeq and is a predicted model, not a curated record. Lineage: Eukaryota; Metazoa; Chordata; Mammalia; Carnivora; Felidae. The transcript has 3 exons.